UACGGGGGUGCAAGCGUUAAUCGGAAUUACUGGGCGUAAAGCGCGCGUAGGUGGCUUGAUAAGCCGGUUGUGAAAGCCCCGGGCUCAACCUGGGAACGGCAUCCGGAAAUGUCAAGCUAGAGUGCAGGAGAAGAAGGUAGAAUUCCCGGUGUAGCGGUGAAAUGCGUAGAGAUCGGGAGGAAUACCAGUGACGAAGGCGGCCUUCUGGACUGACACUGACACUGAGGUGCGAAAGCGUGGGUAGCAAACAGG
This 252-nucleotide ribosomal RNA is filed under the name uncultured bacterium. Its description in RNAcentral is "partial 16S ribosomal RNA". It matches the Rfam family "Bacterial small subunit ribosomal RNA", at positions 524 to 776 of the family's 1533-position model. The record is from RNAcentral.